AGUCAAUAGAUACCCAGGUAGUCCACGCCGUAAACGUUGGGCGCUAGGUGUGGGGAACCUUCCACGUUCUCCGUGCCGUAGCUAAACGCAUUAAGCGCCCCGCCUGGGGAGUACGGCCGCAAGGCUAAAACUCAAAGGAAUUGACGGGGGCCCGCACAAGCGGCGGAGCAUGUUGCUUAAUUCGAUGCAACGCGAAGAACCUUACCUAGGCUUGACAUAUACCGAAAAACUCAUAGAGAUAUGGGGUCCGCAAGGGCGGUAUACAGGUGGUGCAUGGUUGUCGUCAGCUCGUGUCGUGAGAUGUUGGGUUAAGUCCCGCAACGAGCGCAACCCUCGUCCUAUGUUGCCAGCGCGUUAUGGCGGGGACUCAUAGGAGACUGCCGGGGUCAACUCGGAGGAAGGUGGGGAUGACGUCAAAUCAUCAUGCCCCUUAUGUCUAGGGCUGCAAACAUGCUACAAUGGUCGGUACAAAGGGCUGCGAUACCGCAAGGUGGAGCGAAUCCCAAAAAGCCGGCCUCAGUUCGGAUUGGGGUCUGCAACUCGACCCC
Molecule: ribosomal RNA, 548 nt
Filed under: uncultured bacterium
Lineage: Bacteria
Description: bacterial SSU rRNA
Rfam family: Bacterial small subunit ribosomal RNA
Source: RNAcentral